CGCCAGAAAGCUAAGCAGGGCAACAGCGUUAGCCUUUUAAGCUAAAAAUUGGUGACCCCCAACCACCUCUAGCGA
Molecule: transfer RNA, 75 nt
Filed under: Dicrossus filamentosus (checkerboard dwarf cichlid)
Lineage: Eukaryota; Metazoa; Chordata; Actinopteri; Cichliformes; Cichlidae
Description: tRNA-Lys
Rfam family: tRNA
About the family: Transfer RNA (tRNA) molecules are approximately 80 nucleotides in length. Their secondary structure includes four short double-helical elements and three loops (D, anti-codon, and T loops). Further hydrogen bonds mediate the characteristic L-shaped molecular structure. tRNAs have two regions of fundamental functional importance: the anti-codon, which is responsible for specific mRNA codon recognition, and the 3' end, to which the tRNAs corresponding amino acid is attached (by aminoacyl-tRNA synthetases). tRNAs cope with the degeneracy of the genetic code in two manners: having more than one tRNA (with a specific anti-codon) for a particular amino acid; and 'wobble' base-pairing, i.e. permitting non-standard base-pairing at the 3rd anti-codon position.
Source: RNAcentral